UACAGAGGUCCCGAGCGUUGUUCGGAUUUAUUGGGCGUAAAGGGUGCGUAGGCGGCGGAGUAAGUUGGGUGUGAAAUCCCGGGGCUCAACCUCGGAAUGGCAUUCAAUACUGCUUCGCUAGAGUACUGGAGAGGAGGCUGGAAUUUACGGUGUAGCAGUGAAAUGCGUAGAGAUCAUGAGGAAGACCAGUGGCGAAGGCGGGUCUCUGGACAGUUCCUGACACUGAGGCACGAAGGCCAGGGGAGCAAACGGG
RNAcentral lists this ribosomal RNA (253 nucleotides) under uncultured bacterium. RNAcentral's name for it is "partial 16S ribosomal RNA". It matches the Rfam family "Bacterial small subunit ribosomal RNA", at positions 524 to 776 of the family's 1533-position model. The record is from RNAcentral.